Molecule: ribosomal RNA, 549 nt
Filed under: uncultured bacterium
Lineage: Bacteria
Description: partial 16S ribosomal RNA
Source: RNAcentral
CAGCCUUGCGACUGUACUCCCCAGGCGGGGCACUAAAUACAUUUGCUUCGCCUGAGACCCCACAGGAAGGGCCUCAAGCUAGUGCCCAUCGUUUACGGCUAGGACUACCGGGGUAUCUAAUCCCGUUCGCUACCCUAGCUUUCGCACCUCAGCGUCAGAAACGGACCAGAGAGCUGCCUUCGCCAUUGGUGUUCCUCUUGAUAUCUACGCAUUUCACCGCUCCUCCAAGAGUUCCGCUCUCCCCUACCGUCCUCAAGCCGUGCAGUAUGCAAAGCAGUUCCACGGGUGAGCCGUGGGAUUUCACUCCACACUUACACAGCCGCCUACGUGCGCUUUAUGCCCAGUGAUUCCGAACAACGUUUGCACCCUCUGUAUUACCGCGGCUGCUGGCACAGAGUUAGCCGGUGCUUCCUCUCGAACUUACGUCAAACCUGCAACUGUUUACUGCAGGCCAUUCAUAGCCCGUGACAGGAGUUUACAACCCUAAGGCCUUCGUCCUCCACGCGGCGUCGCUCCGUCAGACUUGCGUCCAUUGCGGAAGAUUCUCGA